AAUGAACGCUGGCGGCGCGCCUAAUACAUGCAAGUCGAGCGAGAAGACGUAGCAAUACGUUUGUAAAGCGGCGAACGGGUGAGGAAUACAUGGGUAACCUACCCUAGAGUGGGGAAUAACUAGCCGAAAGGUUAGCUAAUACCGCGUACGCUCCUUGGACUUCGGUUCAGGGAGGAAAGCGAUGCCGAGGGUAUCGCGCUCUUGGAUGGGCUCAUGUCCUACCAGCUUGUUGGUGAGGUAACGGCUCACCAAGGCUUCGACGGGUAGCUGGUCUGAGAGGACGAUCAGCCACACUGGCACUGCGACACGGGCCAGACUCCUACGGGAGGCAGCAGUAAGGAAUAUUGCGCAAUGGGCGAAAGCCUGACGCAGCGACGCCGCGUGGGGGAUGAAGGUCUUCGGAUUGUAAACCCCUUUCGGG
This 421-nucleotide ribosomal RNA is filed under the name uncultured bacterium. RNAcentral's name for it is "bacterial SSU rRNA". It matches the Rfam family "Bacterial small subunit ribosomal RNA", at positions 29 to 440 of the family's 1533-position model. The record is from RNAcentral.